This 530-nucleotide long non-coding RNA is filed under the name Rattus norvegicus (Norway rat). Its description in RNAcentral is "long non-coding RNA NONRATT016173". The record is from RNAcentral. Lineage: Eukaryota; Metazoa; Chordata; Mammalia; Rodentia; Muridae.
GACUUAGAAUGUGGCUUCCCUUGUGCUCCGAUACGCUUUUGCUCUUCUGGAAAACUCCUUCCUGUACAAUCAUGGCUGUGCUAGUGUUACUUGCUGGAAGCUUUUAGCUUGAGCUUUUCCAAGCCAUAAACCCUCACGUUCUUUCUUUCUGUCUCCUUGGAAGUCACUCGGUGUAGAGAGGCUGCUUAAGGCACCUGCCUGAGUGGAAACCUUCCAGAACCUUAUGUCUUUAUUUUAAGUUACUGUGUGUUUUGGUGUUUUUACUCUGUUUUACAUACAUCAGAUACUGAAAUAAGAAUCUGAGACGCCAAUCCAGACUUGUAGUGUGUGUGGCAUAAGAAAAGAGUAAAAAGGAAUUAAACCAUUGUCAGUCUCAGGUUUAUAAAACACAGUUCUGUGUGCGUGCUGAUUACAUGUUUGUUUGUCGUCGUCUGCACCCGUGGACAGUCUUUAUUAAGUAUUAAACUUAUCUCCUUGUGUCAGAUAACUUUCCCCAGAUGGCUCAUCAGAAGCGGUUCAUUGAACGGAAA